AUCUCCCUGCUGCGUUCGCGAGGGUCGUACAUUCUUUGAACCGAUACGCUCUGCGUAAGGUUGGGUGUCUAUCCCGCUGGUGCGCGCGUGGCUUUGCCCAUGUACCCGAUGCGGAUGCGCCCGACCGCCUUGAACCCAAGGGUUCAAGAUAGCGUCCCGGACGGCGCAAGCGGGGAGACC
This 180-nucleotide non-coding RNA is filed under the name Thiobacillus sp. RNAcentral's name for it is "6S RNA". It matches the Rfam family "6S / SsrS RNA". From Rfam's summary of the family: E. coli 6S RNA was the first non coding RNA to be sequenced, but its function was unknown until recently. It consists of 184 nucleotides that fold into an extended hairpin structure with a large single-stranded internal bulge. Lineage: Bacteria; Pseudomonadati; Pseudomonadota; Betaproteobacteria; Nitrosomonadales; Thiobacillaceae. The record is from RNAcentral.